Molecule: ribosomal RNA, 449 nt
Filed under: uncultured bacterium
Lineage: Bacteria
Description: partial 16S ribosomal RNA
Rfam family: Bacterial small subunit ribosomal RNA
Source: RNAcentral
AACGAACGCUGGCGGCAUGCCUAACACAUGCAAGUCGAACGAGAUCUUCGGGUCUAGUGGCGCACGGGUGCGUAACGCGUGGGAAUCUGCCCUUUGGUUCGGAAUAACAGUUGGAAACGACUGCUAAUACCGGAUGAUGACGAAAGUCCAAAGAUUUAUCGCCAGAGGAUGAGCCCGCGUAGGAUUAGCUAGUUGGUGUGGUAAAGGCGCACCAAGGCGACGAUCCUUAGCUGGUCUGAGAGGAUGAUCAGCCACACUGGGACUGAGACACGGCCCAGACUCCUACGGGAGGCAGCAGUGGGGAAUAUUGGACAAUGGGCGAAAGCCUGAUCCAGCAAUGCCGCGUUAGUGAUGAAGGCCUUAGGGUUGUAAAGCUCAUUUACCCGGGAUGAUAAUGACAGUACCGUGAGAAUAAGCUCCGGCUAACUCCGUGCCAGCAGCCGCCGUAA